RNAcentral lists this ribosomal RNA (138 nucleotides) under uncultured eukaryote. Its description in RNAcentral is "partial 18S ribosomal RNA". It matches the Rfam family "Eukaryotic small subunit ribosomal RNA", at positions 1299 to 1458 of the family's 1831-position model. The record is from RNAcentral.
UGGUGGAGUGAUUUGUCUGGUUAAUUCCGAUAACGAACGAGACCUUAACCUGCUAAAUAGUCACGCGAAUUUUUAUUCGCGGCAGACUUCUUAGAGGGACUAUUGACGUUUAGUCAAUGGAAGUUUGAGGCAAUAACA